AUGCAGUCGANGAGNNCCAUGGAGCUUGCUCCGGAAGANCUAGUGGCGAANNNNNNAGUAACACGUGAGAAACCUGCCCCGAAGACCGGGAUAACUCUCCGAAAGGAGAGCUAAUACCGGAUACCUUCACCGGACCGCAUGAUUUGGUGAAGAAACGAAUUUCGCUUCGGGAGGGUCUCGCGGCCUAUCAGCUUGUUGGUGAGGUAACGGCUCACCAAGGCAACGACGGGUAGCUGGUCUGAGAGGACGAUCAGCCACACUGGGACUGAGACACGGCCCAGACUCCUACGGGAGGCAGCAGUGGGGAAUCUUGCGCAAUGGGCGAAAGCCUGACGCAGCCACGCCGCGNGGGGGAAGAAUGCCCUCGGGUUGUAAACCCCUUUCAGCAGGGACGAAAUUGACGGUACCUGCAGAAGAAGCCCCGGCCAACUACGUGCCAGCAGCCGCGGUAACACGUAGGGGGCAAGCGUUGUCCGGAUUUAUUGNNCGUAAAGAGCUCGUAGNCGGCUUNNNAAGUCGGUUGUGAAAACUCAGGGCUCAACCCUGAGACGCCAGCCGAUACUGCCAUNGNUAGAGUUCGGUAGAGGAGUACGGAAUUCCCAGUGUAGCGGUGAAAUGCGCAGAUNUUGNNGGAACACCAGUNGCNAAGGCGGUACUCUGGGNNGACACUGACGCUGANGAGCGAAAGCGUGGGUAGCNNNAGGAUUAGAUACCCU
Molecule: ribosomal RNA, 716 nt
Filed under: uncultured bacterium
Lineage: Bacteria
Description: partial 16S ribosomal RNA
Rfam family: Bacterial small subunit ribosomal RNA
Source: RNAcentral